Molecule: ribosomal RNA, 483 nt
Filed under: uncultured bacterium
Lineage: Bacteria
Description: bacterial SSU rRNA
Rfam family: Bacterial small subunit ribosomal RNA
Source: RNAcentral
AUGAAACACUCCUACGGGAGGCAGCAGUGAGGAAUUUUGGACAAUGGGCGAAAGCCUGAUCCAGCCAUGCCGCGCGAGUGAAGAAGGCCUUCGGGUUGUAAACCGCUUUUGUCAGGGAAGAAAAGUUCCGGGUUAAUACCCUGGGAUGCUGACGGUACCUGAAGAAUAAGCACCGGCUAACUACGUGCCAGCAGCCGCGGUAAUACGUAGGGUGCAAGCGUUAAUCGGAAUUACUGGGCGUAAAGCGUGCGCAGGCGGUUGAGUAAGUCAGAUGUGAAAUCCCCGGGCUCAACCUGGGAAUUGCAUUUGAGACUGCACGGCUAGAGUGUGUCAGAGGGGGGUAGAAUUCCACGUGUAGCAGUGAAAUGCGUAGAUAUGUGGAGGAAUACCGAUGGCGAAGGCAGCCCCCUGGGAUAACACUGACGCUCAUGCACGAAAGCGGGGGGAGCAAACAGGAUUAGAAACCCUAGUAGUCCGAAGUUC